UACGGGGGGGGCAAGCGUUGUUCGGAAUUACUGGGCGUAAAGGGCUCGUAGGUGGCCAACUAAGUCAGACGUGAAAUCCCUCGGCUUAACCGGGGAACUGCGUCUGAUACUGGAUGGCUUGAGAUUGGGAGAGGGAUGCGGAAUUCCAGGUGUAGCGGUGAAAUGCGUAGAUAUCUGGAGGAACACCGGUGGCGAAGGCGGCUAUCUGGACGGUUUCUGACGCUAAGACGCGAAAGCGUGGGGAGCAAACAGG
This 253-nucleotide ribosomal RNA is filed under the name uncultured bacterium. RNAcentral describes it as "partial 16S ribosomal RNA". It matches the Rfam family "Bacterial small subunit ribosomal RNA", at positions 524 to 776 of the family's 1533-position model. The record is from RNAcentral.